GUUUGUAAUGUAGAUGCAUUAGCAUGCUCCACUGGUGCAACUGAUCGACGACCGUCAAGGAGAGGUCGUGGACGUAGACCAACCAUGGGGCAUGGGCUUCAGGAGUAUGCAAGCAAAAAUGGAGGGAGGAAAAUGCGUAUUGAUUUUACAGCAGGGAAAGUGAGACCUACAGACCCAGUCCAAGCAGCAAAGCUUUCUUCUGAGUGUGGUAUCCACAUCAGGAGCAGAAUGCAUGUUGCUACGCACUGGAAGGACUAUGCCAAAAGCCCACUCAAACAUGUUAUUCCCCAUGCUAUUAAAGAUAUCGCGCUUAACUUUGAGAUGGAAAAGGAUGACAAGGUUGGGAAUGAUGUAUGCACAAAAAAGAAAUACUUCAAUGGUUAUACUGCUCAGGAAGCAUUAUCAAAUAAGCCAGCAAACAUUACUCACGAGAAUUGGACCAACCUUGUCAAUAAAUGGUCCGAUGAAAGAAACAAGCAAUUAUGUCAAAUGAAUAAGGAAAACCGAGAAGCUGUCAAGCAUCACCAAAAGACUGGAUCUAUGUCUUAUGUUGCCUAUUUCAGCAAACUUAAAAAAGACCAGUACAAUAAUUAG
This 594-nucleotide ribosomal RNA is filed under the name Triticum aestivum (bread wheat). Its description in RNAcentral is "partial small subunit ribosomal RNA". Lineage: Eukaryota; Viridiplantae; Streptophyta; Magnoliopsida; Poales; Poaceae. The record is from RNAcentral.